Molecule: ribosomal RNA, 484 nt
Filed under: uncultured bacterium
Lineage: Bacteria
Description: partial 16S ribosomal RNA
Rfam family: Bacterial small subunit ribosomal RNA
Source: RNAcentral
AUUGAACGCUGGCGGCAUGCUUUACACAUGCAAGUCGAACGGCAGCGCGGGCUUCGGCCUGGCGGCGAGUGGCGAACGGGUGAGUAAUACAUCGGAACGUGCCCAGUAGUGGGGGAUAGCUCGUCGAAAGCCGGAUUAAUACCGCAUACGACCUGAGGGUGAAAGCGGGGGAUCUUCGGACCUCGCGCUAUUGGAGCGGCCGAUGGCAGAUUAGCUAGUUGGUGGGGUAAAGGCCUACCAAGGCGACGAGCUGAAGCUGGUCUGAGAGGACGACCAGCCACACUGGGACUGAGACACGGCCCAGACUCCUACGGGAGGCAGCAGUGGGGAAUUUUGGACAAUGGGCGAAAGCCUGAUCCAGCAAUGCCGCGUGUGUGAUGAAGGCCUUCGGGUUGUAAAGCACUUUUGGCGGGAACGAAAAGGACUGUGCCAAUACCACGGUUCGAUGACGGUACCCGCAGAAUAAGCACCGGCUAACUACGUG